Alligator sinensis (Chinese alligator) is the source of this 159-nucleotide small nuclear RNA. RefSeq annotates it as U1 spliceosomal RNA. NCBI's taxonomy places the organism in Eukaryota, Metazoa, Chordata, Crocodylia, Alligatoridae. The record is from RefSeq and is a predicted model, not a curated record. The transcript has a single exon.
UUACUUAACUGGCAGGGGAGAUAGAUGCCAUGAUCACCAAGGUGGUUAUCCCAGGGAGAGAGAAUUAUACUCCAGGCAGGCUGACCCCUGUGAGUUUUUCUGAGUGCAGGAAACUCGACUGCACAAUUCUUUGGCAACGUGGCUUGCUUCUCAGCCUUU